UUAAUUAGGAUUCCAACCAAAUAACUCCCCUCCCAAAAUUUUAAUCACUUGCUUUUCACCGGCUCCCCUACGUCUAACCAUUCAAAGAAAUCUGCCCCCAUACGUUUGAUCUGAUCGAAGAACUAAGCCUCUUGCGGAAGCAGAACCUUCAUCAAAGCUCACUGUCACUACACUUUCCACAUCGAGACACAAAACCCCCAAAUUCUCAUAAUUAGGGUUCCUAAUCGCCAUGGAAAUCCACUCGUAAGAUAAACCCGAAGCAGUUCUUGAAUAAAGCUGUACUGAAUCUACAGAUUAACAUUCUUGAAUAAAAUGUGCAAAAACCGGUGGCUAAAUGGUGGCAAUAUCGGUGGCUAAAUGGUGACAAUAUCGGUGGCUAAAUGGUAUAAAACGUGCAAAAACUGAUGGUUAAAUGGUGGCAAAUCAGUGGCUAAAUGGUAUAAAAACGCGUCACAACUCGGUGGCAAACAAGGCGGACGUAGCAAACAUGAAGCGGUGGCAAAUAAUUUUGACCAAUUUUGUGGUGGUAAAAUAAGGUAGCAAAAUAUAAAAUGGUGGCAACUUGGUGGCAUUAGGGCAAUUGACACGGGUGUUUUUGUCACCGUAUUUUCGAUGGCAAACUGGUGACAAUAAGGAAAUUGCUACCAUUUUGUAACCAAAAAUUACAUGACAAAAACCAUGUUUUCUAGUAGUGUGUGUUGAUUCACUCACGACACAUUCCCGUAUCAAGGGCACGAGAGCAAGUCCAUGAACAGGUUAGUAUCAUCGUACCAACAAAGAGACGAACUUGACUUGUGACAACUGGCACAAAACCAGUAAUUUCUGUACUAUUUUAAUAUUAUUUAUUUCCUGCAUUUAUGUGCUUAAACGUCAACGUUAUAUGCUUACUUGUUUU
Helianthus annuus (common sunflower) is the source of this 895-nucleotide long non-coding RNA. RefSeq lists it as uncharacterized. The transcript has 3 exons. The record is from RefSeq and is a predicted model, not a curated record. Lineage: Eukaryota; Viridiplantae; Streptophyta; Magnoliopsida; Asterales; Asteraceae.